Molecule: ribosomal RNA, 497 nt
Filed under: uncultured bacterium
Lineage: Bacteria
Description: partial 16S ribosomal RNA
Rfam family: Bacterial small subunit ribosomal RNA
Source: RNAcentral
GAUGAACGCUGGCGGCGUGCCUAAUACAUGCAAGUCGAGCGAACAGACGAGGAGCUUGCUCCUCUGACGUUAGCGGCGGACGGGUGAGUAACACGUGGAUAACCUACCUAUAAGACUGGGAUAACUUCGGGAAACCGGAGCUAAUACCGGAUAAUAUAUUGAACCGUAUGGUUCAAUAGUGAAAGACGGUUUUGCUGUCACUUAUAGAUGGAUCCGCGCCGCAUUAGCUAGUUGGUAAGGUAACGGCUUACCAAGGCGACGAUGCGUAGCCGACCUGAGAGUGUGAUCGGCCACACUGGAACUGAGACACGGUCCAGACUCCUACGGGAGGCAGCAGUAGGGAAUCUUCCGCAAUGGGCGAAAGCCUGACGGAGCAACGCCGCGUGAGUGAUGAAGGUCUUCGGAUCGUAAAACUCUGUUAUUAGGGAAGAACAAAUGUGUAAGUAACUAUGCACGUCUUGACGGUACCUAAUCAGAAAGCCACGGCUAACUACGUG